AGGGGCGUGGAGCAGUGGACAACCUCGCCGGGCUUUGACCCCGGAGACGCCCGUUCGAAUCGGGCCGUCCCUACCA
This 76-nucleotide transfer RNA is filed under the name Nitrososphaerota archaeon. Its description in RNAcentral is "tRNA-Gln". It matches the Rfam family "tRNA". From Rfam's summary of the family: Transfer RNA (tRNA) molecules are approximately 80 nucleotides in length. Their secondary structure includes four short double-helical elements and three loops (D, anti-codon, and T loops). Lineage: Archaea; Thermoproteati; Nitrososphaerota. The record is from RNAcentral.